CCUACGGGGGGCAGCAGUGAGGAAUAUUGGUCAAUGGGCGGAAGCCUGAACCAGCCAAGUAGCGUGCGGGAUGAAGGCCCUACGGGUCGUAAACCGCUUUUGCACGGGGAUAACACCCUCCACUUGUGGAGGUCUGCAGGUACCGUGCGAAUAAGGGCAGGCUAAUUCCGUGCCAGCAGCCGCGGUAAUACGGAAGGCCCGGGCGUUAUCCGGAUUCGUUGGGCUUAAAGGGAGCGUAGGCGGGCGGUCAAGUGAGCGGUAAAAUCGGGGGGCUAAACCGCGCCACGCAGUUGAAACUGGACGCCGUGAGUUCAAAACGGGCAGGCGGAAUUCGUGGUGUAGCGGUGAAAUGCAUAGAUAUCACGAGGAACCCCGAUGGCGAAGGCAGCCUUCCGGGGUGCGACUGACGCUGAGGCUCGAAAGUGCGGGUAUCAAACAGGAUUAGAUACCCUUGUAGUC
This 459-nucleotide ribosomal RNA is filed under the name uncultured bacterium. RNAcentral's name for it is "partial 16S ribosomal RNA". It matches the Rfam family "Bacterial small subunit ribosomal RNA", at positions 338 to 795 of the family's 1533-position model. The record is from RNAcentral.